AGCGAACGCUGGCGGCGUGCUUAACACAUGCAAGUCGAACGGACUCAGGGGGCAACUCCUGAGUUAGUGGCGAACGGGUGAGUAACACGUGGGUAAUCUCCCCCCGAGUGAGGGAUAAGCUUGCGAAAGCGGGUCUAAUACCGCAUGACACUCCGGGACGUCGGUCUUCGGAGUCAAAGCCGUAAGGCGCUUGGGGAUGAGCCUGCGUCCUAUUAGCUAGUUGGUAGGGUAAUGGCCUACCAAGGCGAUGAUGGGUAGCCGGCCUGAGAGGGUGAACGGCCACACUGGAACUGAGACACGGUCCAGACUCCUACGGGAGGCUG
RNAcentral lists this ribosomal RNA (323 nucleotides) under uncultured Nitrospirota bacterium. RNAcentral describes it as "bacterial SSU rRNA". It matches the Rfam family "Bacterial small subunit ribosomal RNA", at positions 29 to 351 of the family's 1533-position model. Lineage: Bacteria; Pseudomonadati; Nitrospirota. The record is from RNAcentral.